UACGUAGGGGGCAAGCGUUGUCCGGAAUUAUUGGGCGUAAAGCGCGCGCAGGCGGCCAUUUAAGUUUGGUGUUUAAGCCCAGGGCUCAACUCUGGUACGCACUGAAAACUGGAUGGCUUGAGUGCAGGAGAGGAGAGUGGAAUUCCAUGUGUAGCGGUGAAAUGCGUAGAGAUGUGGAGGAACACCAGUGGCGAAGGCGACUCUCUGGCCUGUAACUGACGCUGAGGCGCGAAAGCGUGGGGAGCAAACAGG
This 252-nucleotide ribosomal RNA is filed under the name uncultured prokaryote. RNAcentral's name for it is "partial 16S ribosomal RNA". It matches the Rfam family "Bacterial small subunit ribosomal RNA", at positions 524 to 776 of the family's 1533-position model. The record is from RNAcentral.